Molecule: ribosomal RNA, 373 nt
Filed under: uncultured organism
Description: partial 16S ribosomal RNA
Rfam family: Bacterial small subunit ribosomal RNA
Source: RNAcentral
GUAGGUGGCAAGCGUUGUCCGGAAUUAUUGGGCGUAAAGCGCGCGCAGGCGGUCCUUUAAGUCUGAUGUGAAAGCCCACGGGCUCAACCGUGGAGGGUCAUUGGAAACUGGGGGACUUGAGUACAGAAGAGGAAAGCGGAAUUCCAAGUGUAGCGGUGAAAUGCGUAGAGAUUUGGAGGAACACCAGUGGCGAAGGCGGCUUUCUGGUCUGUAACUGACGCUGAGGCGCGAAAGCGUGGGGAGCAAACAGGAUUAGAUACCCUGGUAGUCCACGCCGUAAACGAUGAGUGCUAAGUGUUAGGGGGUUCCGCCCCUUAGUGCUGCAGCUAACGCAUUAAGCACUCCGCCUGGGGAGUACGGCCGCAAAGGCUGA